This is a long non-coding RNA of Dreissena polymorpha, 377 nucleotides long. RefSeq lists it as uncharacterized. The record is from RefSeq and is a predicted model, not a curated record. The transcript has 4 exons. Lineage: Eukaryota; Metazoa; Mollusca; Bivalvia; Myida; Dreissenidae.
ACGAGGCGGUGUCUCGGUUAACAAUGUCCCCUAAAAAUUGUCCAUAUUUCAAUCGCCGUAGAGCAAAUGACGAGGUUUCUCUUAAAGCAAGCAAAGCGACCGCCUAAGCAUGCUUUCGAGGCAACUUAAGAUAGGAAAAAAACUCAAGAGUUCAGUGAUCAAACACCAACAGAGCCUCGUGAUAAGUUGCCUGUAAAGAGGAGCAUGAUCCCAUCAGAUGCCUCCGAAGAGAUUGACCUGACGAACAAUGCUGCAAAGCAAAAUCUCAGUAAGCAAAGUGCUCAAACUCCUACAGAGCCUCGUGACAAGUUGCUUGUACACAGAAGAGCCUGAUCCCAUCAGAUGCCUCCGAAGAGAUUGAAAAGAACUGUUUACGG